This 550-nucleotide ribosomal RNA is filed under the name uncultured bacterium. Its description in RNAcentral is "bacterial SSU rRNA". It matches the Rfam family "Bacterial small subunit ribosomal RNA", at positions 355 to 896 of the family's 1533-position model. The record is from RNAcentral.
UAGGGAAUCUUCCGCAAUGGGCGAAAGCCUGAUGGAGCAACGCCGCGUGUGUGAUGAAGGCUUUAGGGUCGUAAAGCACUGUUGUAUGGGAAGAAAUGCUAGAAUAGGGAAUGAUUCUAGUUCGACGGUACCAUACCAGAAAGGGACGGCUAAAUACGUGCCAGCAGCCGCGGUAAUACGUAUGUCCCGAGCGUUAUCCGGAUUUAUUGGGCGUAAAGCGAGCGCAGACGGUUGAUUAAGUCUGAUGUGAAAGCCCGGAGCUCAACUCCGGAAUGGCAUUGGAAACUGGUUAACUUGAGUGUUGUAGAGGUAAGUGGAACUCCAUGUGUAGCGGUGGAAUGCGUAGAUAUAUGGAAGAACACCAGUGGCGAAGGCGGCUUACUGGACAACAACUGACGUUGAGGCUCGAAAGUGUGGGUAGCAAACAGGAUUAGAUACCCUGGUAGUCCACACCGUAAACGAUGAAUACUAGGUGUUAGGAGGUUUCCGCCUCUUAGUGCCGAAGCUAACGCAUUAAGUAUUCCGCCUGGGGAGUACGACCGCAAGGUUG